Long non-coding RNA from Eurytemora carolleeae, 2153 nucleotides. RefSeq lists it as uncharacterized. The record is from RefSeq and is a predicted model, not a curated record. The transcript has 3 exons. NCBI's taxonomy places the organism in Eukaryota, Metazoa, Arthropoda, Copepoda, Calanoida, Temoridae.
GUAAAAUUAGUAGUGAUCGAUAUCGAAUUCAAUUCGGGAUCAUCAACAUAAUCUUCCCAUCCCAACUGUUCAGGUGCAGGGAGAGGGUGGACGGGAUACAAAGGUGAUGGAAACAGUUCUACUAAGACGAGCCAGCAUCAUGUCAACUGCUAUUGUUAACGAAAAUAUGCUUCAGCCGAUAGAGUUGUCAGCAGGAAACCGAAGACAGAGUUUUGAACCAACACAUCUCACAAGGAAAAGCAGUUACAAGCACAGCUCAAAACGACGGAGGUACAGUGUUCAGCAUUCAUAGAAGAUGUUUACAAGAACUAGCUUCCGGUUAACACAAGCUCCACUCAAGAAAGCAUCCGGCCGGAAAUCACAGCUUCCGGUUUUAAUGAUUCCUGGAUUUGGAUCUUACUUCACGGCUAAAAAUCUAAAACCGGUCGUUUGAAGCGCGCGCUAAAUUCAAUUAAAGAAAGAUUAGCAUUUCUACAAAGAACUCCAUACUCACCACAAAUUCCAAUUUUGUGAUCUUUAUAUUUUUGGAAUCUGAAGGUGAACAAACUUUUGGGUUUUAAACUUAGACUAUUUAACCCUAUUCCUGCUGGGGGGAGGGGGAGUCAAGCUGACCCCCUCCUGCAGCUUUUUUUACGUAACUUAAAAAGUAUUGGUAUUUGGCUGUUGACAUUUUAUGACUUUUCCUAAAGACCCAUAACCCUCCCUUUAGUUAUAAAACCAGGCUUUUAUACUAACUGCCUGAGUCCUCAGGCACACUGCCUGAAUGACCACUUUUUCCUGUAUGAAAAGUUAGCGAUAUCAGGUCCAAGGAUUUGGGGAUUAAAAAUUUUCAAUUUCAGGAGAUUGAUGUGAAAUAUUUAAAAAAAAACCUCUUUAUAUGUAUUAUAACAGAAAGUAGAAAAUUGUUUAUUCGAAUAUAUAUAUUUAUUAGGAUAUACAUGUUGUGUAAAUGUAUAGAUGUCUCUAUAAUUCUAUACCUCGGAAAAGGAUGUAAUUUAGCAAUUAGAUUAGAGGAUGAUAUUUGUAUUCAUAAUCCAGAAUCAGAUUAAUUAUUAAUAUAUCUAAAGCUCCAGGAAAAAGUAAUAUUUUCACAGAUAAGCAGGAACCGAAAAUUUGAUUUUAAGAUUAAAUAAUUAUGAUUAUAUAUCAUUAUAAGGAUGAAAAGUCCUAGGUCAACUGCCUGAAUUUCUUGCAAAAACUAAGUAAGAUAAAGCAUUAACACAUUGAAAAUAAAGACCCAUCUUCCCCCAGCAACUAGAGGCCAAAUGCAUUUAAGGUUAAUUACGAAAGUUGUGGAAAUGAAUGAUUUAAUGCAGGGGAAGCUUAAAGGGACUGUGAUUUCAAAAAGCUCUCCAUAAAAAAAGUGGCAAUGUCAUUUUUACAACAAUAAUCAUUAUAAAUUUAUCAAUUUUUUCCUAUCUCUCUAUUAAUGAAUGGUUACUUCAAAUUACGUCUCAAGUCCUUUUAGAGGGAGUGACUGCCUAAAAUAUUUCUUUACAAUACUGCACUGUAAGCUUAACUACCAUGUUCAGUCAUACACUCCCUUAAAGAACGGUGUGUUUGUAAACAUUCCUUAAAAAUUGCAAAACGUAAACACACAGUUGCAGUACAUUAAUGAACCUGAGCCCAGAUGUAAAUAGACAAUAAUGUUUGAGACUGUGUGUGUACUGUGUACGGCUUAGAGGGGUGGGGGCCGGGUCAAAAAAUUAAGCCCCCCAAAAAAAUCUUCUUUUUAUUUCAGACGAAAUUCAAAUUUGUCUCUCUAAAAAGCAUUUUGGAAAAUUUUGAAUUAUUUAACAAUUCCUGUAUUUAAUAAGAAUAUAUUUCGUUUAUCUAAAUCUAAGUGAGUUUUUCUUUUUAAACUUAGAAAUCAGCUCAAUAUAUAUAAUAUCUUAAACUUAAUAUGUAAUUGUGUAAUCAUAUAUUAAUGAAAAAUAAUGUGUUAAAUUUACUUGUCGCAUUUAAAUGUUAGUGCUAGAAAUGAUAAGUUAGGUUAAGCGUUAUUAUAAACAAAUAUAUCAAAGAAAUAAAAGAAUGCUCAUAUAUUAUUUAUUAAUUGGAUAUGUUUAAUUUAGGAUGUAGAAAAAAGCUCAAUUUAUUGUUUAACUCUCUAACAAAAACGCUAGAUAGUAGAUAUUUAAGUUAUUUAUAUA